UCUGCUUGGAUUGUCCAUAAAUAAGAUCAAGGUAGAGAAGCUUAGCACCCCUAACUCUCAAAAAUCAAAAUGAAGGCCUUUCUAAUUGUCUGCCUUCUCUUGGUUUCCACUUUUUUCAUUCCUUCUUCAAGUGUUACCUUUAGGGUUCCAAUACCGAAAUUAAAACCAAAACCUGGUGGCAGGGUCUGUAAUCCAUUUAAACAAAAUUGUCGGAGGCCAAGAGUUCCAAAUCUGCCACCUCUGCUUUCAGUGUCACCUCCGCCCUUCUAUAGACGGCCAAAUCCACCAAUAUUCCAUAAGCCGCCACCACCUCCAACCCCUUGAGAUAUGAUGCACCAUGCUUAGUUCAUCAAUAAACAAGGAUAAAGUUGCUUAUUCUCGUGGAGAGUAGUAAUUAAGAAUUAAUAAAGUGUGUUUUUUUUGUGAUAUAUAGUUUCGGGUUCGUGAUGGACUCUAUCAUAGUUUGAUGUAAUUUUUGCAAAAUAAGAGAGCUGUAGGCUCGGAGUUUGUGUGAUAUAUUAUGGAGUUUUUCAUGCACUCCAUAAUAAUUUGAUGUAAUAUUGUUCGCGAAAUUAAAGAGCUGUUGGCUUGUUUGAGAGACUUC
Molecule: long non-coding RNA, 604 nt
Organism: Quercus lobata
Lineage: Eukaryota; Viridiplantae; Streptophyta; Magnoliopsida; Fagales; Fagaceae
Exons: 2
Source: RefSeq, a predicted model, not a curated record